RNAcentral lists this ribosomal RNA (497 nucleotides) under uncultured bacterium. Its description in RNAcentral is "partial 16S ribosomal RNA". It matches the Rfam family "Bacterial small subunit ribosomal RNA", at positions 28 to 507 of the family's 1533-position model. The record is from RNAcentral.
GAUGAACGCUGGCGGCGUGCCUAAUACAUGCAAGUCGAGCGAACAGACGAGGAGCUUGCUCCUCUGACGUUAGCGGCGGACGGGUGAGUAACACGUGGAUAACCUACCUAUAAGACUGGGAUAACUUCGGGAAACCGGAGCUAAUACCGGAUAAUAUACUGAACCGCAUGGUUCAAUAGUGAAAUACGGUUUUGCUGUCUCUUAUAGAUGCAUCCGGGCCGCAUUAGAUAGUUGGUACGGUAACGGCUUACCAAGGCAACGAGGCGUAGCCGACGUGAGAGGGUGAUCGGCCACACUGGAACUGAGACACGGUCCAGACUCCUACGGGAGGCAGCAGUAGGGAAUCUUCCGCAAUGGGCGAAAGCCUGACGGAGCAACGCGGCGUGAGUGAUGAAGGUCUUCGGAUCGUAAAACUCUGUUAUUAGGGAAGAACAAAUGUGUAAGUAACUAUGCACGUCUUGACGGUACCUAAUCAGAAAGCCACGGCUAACUACGUG